Non-coding RNA from Styela clava, 879 nucleotides. Lineage: Eukaryota; Metazoa; Chordata; Ascidiacea; Stolidobranchia; Styelidae. The record is from RefSeq and is a predicted model, not a curated record.
CCAUACCAGGAACAAUAAUCGUAAAUCUUGGCGAAACGAUGCAGAAAUGGAGUGGAGGAAGACUACGUGCAACGCGUCAUCGUGUAAUGCCACCUCGCGAUCAAAGUAACAGGAUGAAUACACGAAGAUCAAUCGCGUAUUUUGGCCAAGCUGAUGAUAACGCUUUGAUGGAGGAAUUCGAGUAUGAAGAUGGGUUUGGUCACAAAACAUCUAAUGAUGAAACCGACAAGAUUACAGUAAAGGAAUACACAGAUAGGCGUUUCAUGGAAGUAUUCCCGUAAUGGUGAUAAAAAGAAUAUGACUCACAAUUUUUAUUUUGAUCAAAAUGGAACAUUAGUAUAAGAUAGCCAGAGAUUACAGCAUGGAAAAUAUGUGAAAAUAGCUCAUCUGUAGUGAAUCUGUGAAUAAUUUCCGAAUAGUGAUCUGAUCUAAUCUAUCAAGCAAGUGGUCUCAUAAGACCUUUUUACUUCUAUGGUCAUCGGUAUAUCUAUCUAUCUACUCGAUGUGUUUACUUUUAGAAUUUGCAUUUUUCAAAAUUUUACCUUGUAAUCAGCACGUAAAUUGUGAUUAAAACAGCCAUGCAGAUGCUAAAAAUCUGUUGGUGAAAAUGUUUUGGUGCAAAUGUCCGUGGGUGCAAAAGUAUACAAGUGCAAAUGUACGCGGGUGCAAAUGUGCUGUCACCUACAGCAACUUUUAUAUGUUGUAAAGCAAAUUAGAAUAUGUUCAAUUUUUCUCGUCUCUCAGUGGUAUUGUGGUGAACCGAAUAUAUUCACAAUCAAAUGUAAACCUUAAUUAAACCGAUAAUAUUAUUUUCGAUUCUCAAAAAAAUUUUGCAAUGCCAUCACAUGAUUAUUACAAAAUAAAAUUCUCAACACCAGA